This 98-nucleotide small nucleolar RNA is filed under the name Tetranychus urticae (two-spotted spider mite). RNAcentral's name for it is "snoRNA tetur04g09447". The record is from RNAcentral. Lineage: Eukaryota; Metazoa; Arthropoda; Arachnida; Trombidiformes; Tetranychidae.
UAAGCAGCCUUCUCUGGCCCAAUGUUCUGGCCCACUUGGACUUUACCCUAGGGUAAAGUUCGAGUGGGCCAGAACGGUGGGCCAGAGUGGGCUGCUUA